Molecule: non-coding RNA, 206 nt
Organism: Paramuricea clavata
Lineage: Eukaryota; Metazoa; Cnidaria; Anthozoa; Malacalcyonacea; Plexauridae
Source: the annotation of a GenBank genome assembly
CACGAUUGGGGUAAAUCAGCGAUUUUUCCACGACCCAUAUUGUUGGGUAAAUAGCGUGUGUUUCUCAUUUGGUUUUUGACCUUUGUGGCGAGAUAGUCAAUGGAUAACAUAGAUAUAAUUUUUGAUGAGUUGAAACGAAAUGAAAUUGAUAUUGAUAAGCGAACUUUAUCGUUUCAUAUAAAUACAAUGGCCAACCAACAUCGCGG